CUGUGGUGUCCAUGUUGUUUGUGCAUGGGCUCCGGAAUUGAUCAAGGCCCCCAUUCAUGUCAUGGAGUGGUUCACUUCUCAGAUACCUUGUUGAUUUUCUGAUUCUACUGAACAUACCUUCGUCAUGUAGUUUUCUUGGGUAAUAUUAUUCUCAGUACUCAGUUGUGGUUUCUGUUUGUAGAUUUGGAUUCUUCAUCUCUCUCUCUUUUAUGUGUUUUCUUGUUGGAUAUUGAGUGGAGAGAGAGGAAAUUUUUAAGGUAUGAUUCAUGAGAUGAUACUUGUGCAGAUCUGAUAUAUUGAUUUUCCUGUGAUUUUGGACUGUUUGUGAAUCUGAGCUCGAAGAAUAUUUUUGAUGUUAUCUUUUUGUCUCCCAUAAUUUCUAGGAACUGGUGCUGAUUAUCAUCUGUGGAUAACAAUUAUUGGUGUCGAAAUGUAUCUGCAACUGAA
Populus euphratica (Euphrates poplar) is the source of this 447-nucleotide long non-coding RNA. RefSeq lists it as uncharacterized. The transcript has 2 exons. NCBI's taxonomy places the organism in Eukaryota, Viridiplantae, Streptophyta, Magnoliopsida, Malpighiales, Salicaceae. The record is from RefSeq and is a predicted model, not a curated record.